Patella vulgata (common limpet) is the source of this 5482-nucleotide long non-coding RNA. RefSeq lists it as uncharacterized. NCBI's taxonomy places the organism in Eukaryota, Metazoa, Mollusca, Gastropoda, Patellidae. The transcript is spliced from 4 exons. The record is from RefSeq and is a predicted model, not a curated record.
UGAGGGCAGUACAUAAAAAAAACAAAACAAAAUGACUCAUUAUCACGCCACACAGUGAAAUUAUUGCAUAAGAUGAUGCAAAAUAUUUCUGGAACCAUCCUUCACAAUAAACAUCGGGGAUUCCAAAAGUUAAUAAUAGAAGCUAUGCAAUAGCAAAUAACAAUGGCACGUGUGAUGUAGGCAGCUAUAUCACUUGUUAGCUACUAUAACGUUAGUCAUCCAUCGGUUGUGUAAUAAACCGGUCAAUGUUUGUGGAACGGUUUAUAGUAAAAUUCUCUCUUAAUUCGUGCUGAUAAUAUUUGUAAAAAUGGUGAAAAAAGAAAUUUUAACAUUUUUAUUUUUUAUUAAUCUAAUUUACUCGACUUACUGUAAAGAAUUUCCAUGUGAUUUUGACAUUUGUGAUACAGAACACGACCAAUUCUGUAAUAUAAAGGAUAAAAGAUGUAACUAUUGUACAAUACAACAAUGUAUAACUGGUCUUAAAGAAUGUGAAGAGUUCUGUCAAAGUCAAAAGACUACUACUACUACUACUACUACGCCAGCUACAUCGUCACACAGUAUAUUUCUACCAUAUGCCAAGUCUAAUUCAUCUGGAUUAUGGUGGAAGGUAGUUUUAGUGAUUGGAUUUGUUGCUAUACUAGUUAUUUUAGGUUUUGUUGUGGAUAAUCAUCGGAGGUCACAUUGGAAUAAGAAACCGGGAGGUGAUAAUAAAGCAGAUGGGAAUGUGGUAGAAAAAAACCCACUUUUAAAUCACAGCGAGGACUCUGGAUUAGAUCAAAGUCCAGACGGAUCGAAUACAGCUAUUCCUACCAGACAGAAUAAGCCACCUGUAAACAUUGAGUUAAACAAUUUUACAAGAGGGGUAACAGCUAACCAACGUCAAGAUCAACUGUAUGACCAUGAUCAAGCCAAGCUGAUACCAGGGACAAAUAGAUCUAUCAACCCUCAACGACCGAUUAACGAACAGUAUCAACAACCACAUACAUCUCCAGAAAUAUGUACUGAAAAUAAUAAAUUAUAUAAAGAAAGUUUGGAUGCCGAUGGACUGUCUAUACAUAAAAAUGGAAAAUUAUUAAAUGAUUUUAGUGGUAUAUCUCAAAAUGAUCAAACAAAUUUAAAGCAUACAAUUUAGACUAAUGCUUUUAGAAAUAGUAAUUUGAAAUUGUAUGCCUGGACUAAAAGUAUUGUAUUGUAACUGCUGCAACUUUUUAAUAUCUUGUAAAAAGAAAUAUAAUAUGAGAGAAUGAAUUUUAUUUCAUGUACAUGUCUACUACAUAGAUCUGUUUCUUUUCAUACGUGGGUAAGACGUUGGCUCGCUAGUCUGGAGGUCGCUUGUUCGAUCCCUGCAUUGGCCGAGAAAGUUCAUCGAGAAUUUCCGGCGUGGUUCCACCUUGUCAGUGGUGCAGGACGGAGGGCCUGACAAGGACAGCUGUCUAGUCGUUCGGAUGGGAAGAAAACCCAGAGGUCCCGUGUAUACAUCGGUGUGCAUGUAAAAGAUCCCUUGACAGUUGGAAUUCGAUAUAAGAGUAGGCCAUAGUGCCGCUGUAUGGCGUAUGCCCUUCUUCAUUAGCCCCGUCGGAGCAGAACAGUAGGACGUUAAACCCCAUUUUAUUUUAUUUCAUUUGUUUUCAUACAAAUAGAAAUGAGAUCAAUCAUCAAAAAGAAAAUAUCAAAAACACCAAAUAUAACAAAAUAUCAUUUUGGACUCUCGUCUACUGCGUUAAAACUCAGUAUGGAACAAGACAAGAGAUACAUAUAAAAUGGAGUCAGCAGCAUGUGAAAUAAGAUCAGGCCCUCACAAAACAUUCUCACACUUAAGUUAAGAAUUUACUCAACUUUCAAUCACUGUUUAUGAGAAAUACCUUUGAUCCAGAAACACAAAACUUUGUACAUAGUUUCUUAUUGGAGUAUUUAAUACAUUAAAACAACAACAGUUUUAUAAAGGGCUAUAUUUUAAUUAAAAUAAGGCAAACAAUUUUGAGUAAAUUCUUAAGUCUCAGAAUGUUCGUACUUAAGUUUUAUUGAUGUCAUUUAUAUAUUUAUUUAUUUAUAUUCCAUUGAUGAGUUAGUGGAAAACGGGACAGAAGUGUCUGAUUCAAUGAAUCUCAACCUGUAAAAAUGUGGAUCCUACUUUUUGACCAUUGUAUUAAAUUAUUUAUCAUUAAAGAGCUAAUCGUACUUUCAGCUUUAAAUCAUGUACAUCAGGGUCGAAUUAAGCUUUCAUGGAGCCCCUGACUGAAUAUUUCACGAGGGAUCUUGCGUCAUCAGUAAAAAAGGGGAAUAUUCUAGUCACUGUUCGUCACACUCACACAAAUACAAUUUGUAUGUUAGAUAGAUUUAGUUGACCUUUACAUAUACAACAUAAUAAGGUACAAAUAUUGUUUUUAGAAAUAAUUAUGGGGCCCCUGGCUUCAGUCUAGGCGACCUUCGGUUAUCGUGAUUUCUUGACUAUGGUCGAACUAACUGAAUCCGAAUUUCAUUUAGUCCGGACCAUAGUCCGAAAAUACUGAACCAUGCUAUUGUGGCAUGGUCGGAGUAGUUCCAAGAUGGCGGUGUUGAUAAAACGAAAGUAGAAUAUGUAGAAAGAAUCUAUUUUUGUUAAGUAUAUGAUUUUAAGAAAUCUUGCAUGAAUUUUAAAUGGUUGCUACUUCUAUGAGCUGAUAUUUUUUGUCCCGUAUGUUAUGUCUGAAUCUAUGUAAGUCUAAAAAUUACGCAUUAUUUCAAUACUUUAAUUAUGCAAAAAGUAAAGUCCAGUUACAAGGAAUUUUGUGGUCUUAAAAUUAAUUUGAAUCGCGCAAAUUUAACUUCAUGAAAGUAUUAUUUGUUUAUUAAACUAUAUAACACAGCGAUUCAUUUUCCUCCAUGGAGAGAUGUAUAGACAUUCCUUGUGGGUUUUUUUAUGGGUUAUGGUCGAGGUCUAAAGCAGAGUAAAAUGACAUACCGAUGUCCCUGGGGGCAGCCAUCUUUGAACAGACGAUGGUCCGGACCAUUCGCGUUCGGUUUCUAGUUCCGACCACUAGUCGUGAAAAAAUUAUAACCGAAGGUCGCCCUUGUGAGAUCUUCCCUUAAUCUGACCAGGCCUAGAAUUAAUGGUUUUAGAUGUACAUGACAAAAUGUCAGGCACUAAUGAAAUAGUACCUGACAUUUUCAACUAAGUGCUGGACAUGGAUUAAUAAUAUCAAUAAAAAAGAUAAAUCGGUGCCGGACAAAAUGACAGGCACCAGUGUAGUUGUACCUGACAAAUCCUGAAUCUGUGCCUGACAUUGUCUGUGACCGGUGCCUUAUUUCCAGGCUUGAAUCUGACCCUGAGGUACUAUUCAUGAUAUCAUACACUGCUGUUUAUACAAUCAACAACUGUAAAUAACAUUAUUUAUAUUUUAGUAUUUAUUGAUGUUGUAUAUUUAAUAUGCUUAGGGUCAUACGGUCAAAAGCCGCUCAUAUGACCCCUGACGAGACCCCCCAUAACAACUGGUCAGAUCUUCAUGUAGUAGAGGCCAACGAAAGUAUAAAAAAACGAAACGAAAUAUAGAUCUGUAUUAUAAUCAGAUUGUGACAAGGAAACAUAUAAACUUAGACAUUUUUAUAUACAUAUCAAAAUUUAGAUUAUGAUCGAGGCCAGUUGAUGUUUCACUUUUUAUACCAUAUUUUAUAUACUUAAGAUUAGCAAGUUAUAUUUUACAAUACGACAAUUUUUAGUGUUAUCUUAAUGUUAAAAUAUAUUUUUAAGGUUGUUUACACGUAAGAACUAUAAAUUUGAGAAUAUUUAUGGUAUGAAUUGUUGAUAACGGUGAGAGUAUUAUGACCAGGUAGUUUUUAAUACAGCCAUUCACCCAAUAUUAAGGGUUAGACUUACACCAUAACUUAAACCCAAGAUGGAUUAUCUAAAGCGGUGGACACAUUAGCCGAAUCAGUCGGUCGAAAUCGUUCAGCCAAACAAAUCAGUGCCAUAUUUUAUUCGGCCGAAUGGGUGGACACACUAUAGGCGAAUGCUUCGCCCAUUCACCAGUCGACUGCAUCACCUUUCAUGUCACAUGAUUAUCUUCAAACAAUCAUGUGACUUCCCGAUAUGAGUGUAUGCACGUUGGUGAUUGGCUAAUGAAUUCUGCAUUCGGGCGAAUGCUUCAGCGAAGAGGACUCACUAGGCGAAUAUAAUUCGACCAAAUGUGGACACAUUAGGCAAAUUUUGUUGCCGAUUGAUUCGACUAGUCCACCGCUUAAAGUUAAUAAUGAUCAGCUAUGACAGAGAUUAGAGACAAUAGUAGUAAUGAGAUAAUCCAUCUAUAAACAUUACAUAAUGAUAAUCAAGGCCCCAAGUAGUCACCUCAGUAAAUGAAUGAAUGGAUGUCACUUAAAUAUUACCCUUUAAAAACUAUAAAAGAUUAUUAAGUUUAAAAUAUAUAUAAAGUAUUAUUUAUUGUUUAUUGUUACCAAGUAACCUCUUGUACAUUAGAGGAAAGGUUGUAGAUGAAUAGUAAUUGACCACAGGCAGGCAAAUAUGACCAAAAAAAGAGACCUGGGGUCAUGUUUAUGAAAAUUAAAACUAAAAAUACUUUAAUGGUGCAGUUUUUUCAUUGGUUGAGAAUUGAAAUCCUAGAACAAAUUUCAACUCUGGAAAAGCCCUCAUUCUUAAAAAUUUUCAUGAAUAAGGCCCCUGGUUUCACAUAUAAUGUGGGUUUGGACAAUGAAUCGGAAUAAUAUUUUAAAGCACUGAUUAGUACGAUAACUUAGGACAAAACAAUGACAUUCUGCGUGUUGGAUAGUUUCCAAUGGCACUAGUUUAAACAGUUUUAAACUUUCUAAUGGCACACUACGCAUGUUGGAUAGUUUCCAAUGGUUUAAACAGUUUUAAACUUUCUAAUGGCGCACUAGUUUAAACAGUUACUUUAAACUUUCUAGUGGCACCAAUUAUAUUUUCAUUUCUUCUGGUUCUUGAUAAACAGCAACUUGAAUCAUGUGAAAGAUGAUUGGUUUAAAAUUUCAAACCUUUAGAACUAAAAGCUUUUGAGCAACAUAACAAAGUACUAUUGGUUUUUAACUAAGUUUUUUUUCCCUGAAGAAGAAUAAGAUGGAAAAUUUUAACUGGUGUUCCUGAAGAACAGAAAAACAAUUAGGUGUGGCCUUACUUUAAAAUUUCUGAUAACCCUAAACCUUGUCCAUCUGAUGAUAAACCUUGUCCUGAUAACCCUAAACCUUGUCCAUCUGAUGAUAAACCUUGUCCUGAUAACCCUAAACCUUGUCCAUCUGAUGAUAAACCUUGUCCUGAUAACCCUAAAUCUUCCAAUGAUACUAAACCUUGUCCUGCUGAUGAUAAACUAUUAUUUUUAAAUGCUUGUGAUUUAUAUCAUUAAACUGUUUACCCAAGAGAUUCAAAUGUUAUUAAAUUAAAAUGUUAUCUUUUAGUAAACAGCAAUGAUAAAAUAUGUGAUAUACAUGUACAUAGAAAUAUAAAUGUUUUUAGUAAAUAAAGUAUUUAUUGAUUUUA